UUGGACCUGAUAUCAGCAAGAUUACCCGCUGAACUUAA
This 38-nucleotide ribosomal RNA is filed under the name Phytophthora mengei. RNAcentral describes it as "partial 28S ribosomal RNA". Lineage: Eukaryota; Oomycota; Peronosporomycetes; Peronosporales; Peronosporaceae. The record is from RNAcentral.